RNAcentral lists this ribosomal RNA (1370 nucleotides) under Cellulosimicrobium cellulans. Its description in RNAcentral is "bacterial SSU rRNA". It matches the Rfam family "Bacterial small subunit ribosomal RNA". The record is from RNAcentral. Lineage: Bacteria; Bacillati; Actinomycetota; Actinomycetes; Micrococcales; Promicromonosporaceae.
GCAGUCGACGGUGAAGCAGAGCUUGCUCUGUGGAUCAGUGGCGAACGGGUGAGUAACACGUGAGCAAUCUGCCCCUGACUCUGGGAUAAGCGCUGGAAACGGCGUCUAAUACCGGAUACGAGCUGCGACCGCAUGGUCAGUAGCUGGAAAGAAUUUCGGUCAGGGAUGAGCUCGCGGCCUAUCAGCUUGUUGGUGAGGUAAUGGCUCACCAAGGCGUCGACGGGUAGCCGGCCUGAGAGGGUGACCGGCCACACUGGGACUGAGACACGGCCCAGACUCCUACGGGAGGCAGCAGUGGGGAAUAUUGCACAAUGGGCGAAAGCCUGAUGCAGCAACGCCGCGUGAGGGAUGACGGCCUUCGGGUUGUAAACCUCUUUUAGCAGGGAAGAAGCGAAAGUGACGGUACCUGCAGAAAAAGCGCCGGCUAACUACGUGCCAGCAGCCGCGGUAAUACGUAGGGCGCAAGCGUUAUCCGGAAUUAUUGGGCGUAAAGAGCUCGUAGGCGGUCUGUCGCGUCUGCUGUGAAAACCCGAGGCUCAACCUCGGGCCUGCAGUGGGUACGGGCAGACUAGAGUGCGGUAGGGGAGAUUGGAAUUCCUGGUGUAGCGGUGGAAUGCGCAGAUAUCAGGAGGAACACCGAUGGCGAAGGCAAGAUCUCUGGGCCCGUAACUGACGCUGAGGAGCGAAAAGGGUGGGGAGCAAACAGGCUUAGAUACCCUGGUAGUCCACCCCGUAAACGUUGGGAACUAGUUGUGGGGUCCAUUCCACGGAUUCCGUGACGCAGCUAACGCAUUAAGUUCCCCGCCUGGGGAGUACGGCCGCAAGGCUAAAACUCAAAGGAAUUGACGGGGACCCGCACAAGCGGCGGAGCAUGCGGAUUAAUUCGAUGCAACGCGAAGAACCUUACCAAGGCUUGACAUAUAGAGGAAACGUCUGGAAACAGUCGCCCCGCAAGGUCUCUAUACAGGUGGUGCAUGGUUGUCGUCAGCUCGUGUCGUGAGAUGUUGGGUUAAGUCCCGCAACGAGCGCAACCCUCGUUCUAUGUUGCCAGCACGUAAUGGUGGGAACUCAUGGGAUACUGCCGGGGUCAACUCGGAGGAAGGUGGGGAUGACGUCAAAUCAUCAUGCCCCUUAUGUCUUGGGCUUCACGCAUGCUACAAUGGCCGGUACAAAGGGCUGCAAUACCGUGAGGUGGAGCGAAUCCCAAAAAGCCGGUCCCAGUUCGGAUUGAGGUCUGCAACUCGACCUCAUGAAGUCGGAGUCGCUAGUAAUCGCAGAUCAGCAACGCUGCGGUGAAUACGUUCCCGGGUCUUGUACACACCGCCCGUCAAGUCAUGAAAGUCGGUAACACCUGAAGCCGGUGGCCCAAC